GCUCGAGUGGCGGAAUUGGUAUACGCGCAACACUUAAAAUGUUGUGACCGCAAGGUCAUGUGAGUUCGAUUCUCACCUCGAGCA
RNAcentral lists this transfer RNA (84 nucleotides) under Candidatus Zambryskiibacteriota bacterium. RNAcentral's name for it is "Candidatus Zambryskibacteria bacterium tRNA-Leu". It matches the Rfam family "tRNA". From Rfam's summary of the family: Transfer RNA (tRNA) molecules are approximately 80 nucleotides in length. The record is from RNAcentral. Lineage: Bacteria; Candidatus Zambryskiibacteriota.